CAGGCCUAACACAUGCAAGUCGUACGGUGGUAGCAAUACCAUAGUGGCGCACGGGUGCGUAACACGUAACUAACUUACGUAUAACUGGGGUAUAGCCCGCCGAAAGGCGGAUUAAUACCGCAUAAGCUGUGAGGGUGGCAUCACCUUUUUAGUAAAGAUUUAUUGGUUAUAGAUGGGUUUGCGGGUCAUUAGUUAGUUGGUUGGGUAACGGCUGACUAAGUCGACGAUGAGUAGGGGAGCUGAGAGGAUGGUCCCCCACACAAGGCACUGAGAUACGGGCCCGACUCGUACGGGAGGCAGCAGUAGGGAAUAUUGGGCAAUGGGCGAGAGCCUGACCCAGCCAUGCCGAGUGCAGGAAGAAGGCUUUAUGAGUCGUAAACUGCUUUGACCAGGGAAGAAUAAGGCGUACGUGUACGCUGAUGACGGUACCUGCAGAAUAAGCACCGGUUAACUCCGAGCCAGCAGCCGCGG
RNAcentral lists this ribosomal RNA (471 nucleotides) under uncultured bacterium. Its description in RNAcentral is "bacterial SSU rRNA". It matches the Rfam family "Bacterial small subunit ribosomal RNA", at positions 43 to 520 of the family's 1533-position model. The record is from RNAcentral.